Molecule: ribosomal RNA, 301 nt
Filed under: uncultured bacterium
Lineage: Bacteria
Description: partial 16S ribosomal RNA
Rfam family: Bacterial small subunit ribosomal RNA
Source: RNAcentral
CAGCAGCCGCGGGAAUACAGAGGGUGCAAGCGUUAAUCGGAAUUACUGGGCGUAAAGCGCGCGUAGGUGGUUUGUUAAGUUGGAUGUGAAAUCCCCGGGCUCAACCUGGGAACUGCAUCCAAAACUGGCAAGCUAGAGUAUGGUAGAGGGUGGUGGAAUUUCCUGUGUAGCGGUGAAAUGCGUAGAUAUAGGAAGGAACACCAGUGGCGAAGGCGACCACCUGGACUGAUACUGACACUGAGGUGCGAAAGCGUGGGGAGCAAACAGGAUUAGAUACCCGAGUAGUCCCUGUCUCUUAUAA